UUAAAUUGAAGAGUUUGAUCAUGGCUCAGAUUGAACGCUGGCGGCAGGCCUAACACAUGCAAGUCGAACGGUAGCACAG
Molecule: ribosomal RNA, 79 nt
Filed under: Citrobacter freundii
Lineage: Bacteria; Pseudomonadati; Pseudomonadota; Gammaproteobacteria; Enterobacterales; Enterobacteriaceae
Also listed under: 7 other names
Description: partial 16S ribosomal RNA
Rfam family: Bacterial small subunit ribosomal RNA
Source: RNAcentral